This 431-nucleotide ribosomal RNA is filed under the name uncultured bacterium. Its description in RNAcentral is "bacterial SSU rRNA". It matches the Rfam family "Bacterial small subunit ribosomal RNA", at positions 358 to 782 of the family's 1533-position model. The record is from RNAcentral.
GGAAUAUUGGACAAUGGGCGCAAGCCUGAUCCAGCAAUACCGCGUGUGUGAAGAAGGCCCUAGGGUUGUAAAGCACUUUCAAUGGGGAGGAAAACCUGCCGGCCAAUACCCGGUAGCUUGACAUUACCUAUAGAAGAAGCACCGGCUAACUCCGUGCCAGCAGCCGCGGUAAUACGGAGGGUGCGAGCGUUAAUCGGAAUUACUGGGCGUAAAGCGUGCGUAGGCGGCUCGUUAAGUCAGAUGUGAAAGCCCUGGGCUCAACCUGGGAACUGCAUUUGAAACUGGCGAGCUAGAGUUGAGUAGAGGGGAGUGGAAUUUCAGGUGUAGCGGUGAAAUGCGUAGAUAUCUGAAGGAACACCAGUGGCGAAGGCGACUCCCUGGACUCAAACUGACGCUGAGGUACGAAAGCGUGGGUAGCAAACAGGAUUAGA